CCUACGGGCGGCAGCAGUAGGGAAUCUUCGGCAAUGGGGGGAACCCUGACCGAGCAACGCCGCGUGAACGAAGAAGUUAUUCGUAAUGUAAAGUUCUUUUAACAGGGAAGAAAGAGAAAUUUGACGGUACCUGAAGAAUAAGCUCCGGCUAACUACGUGCCAGCAGCCGCGGUAAUACGUAGGGAGCGAGCGUUAUCCGGAAUUAUUGGGCGAAAAGGGUGCGUAGAUGGCAUAGUAAGUCUUUUGUAAAAAUGCUGGGCUCAACCCAGUAGGGCAAAAGAUACUGCAAAGCUAGAGUAUGACAGAGGCAAGUGGAACUAGAUGUGUAGCGGUAAAAUGCGUAAAUAUAUGUAAGAACACCAGUGGCGAAGGCGGCUUGCUGGGUCGAUACUGACAUUGAGGCACGAAAGCGUGGGGAGCAAACAGGAUUAGAUACCCCGGUAGUC
Molecule: ribosomal RNA, 446 nt
Filed under: uncultured bacterium
Lineage: Bacteria
Description: partial 16S ribosomal RNA
Rfam family: Bacterial small subunit ribosomal RNA
Source: RNAcentral